GUGCUCACUUCGGCAGCACAUACACCAAAAUUGGAACAAUACAGAGAAGAUUGGCGUGGCCCCUGCACAAGGAUGACCAAAGAGUUGAUGACUGCGCAGCAGGAUCAU
This is a small nuclear RNA of Zalophus californianus (California sea lion), 108 nucleotides long. NCBI's taxonomy places the organism in Eukaryota, Metazoa, Chordata, Mammalia, Carnivora, Otariidae. The record is from Ensembl.